Molecule: ribosomal RNA, 1314 nt
Filed under: uncultured Alphaproteobacteria bacterium
Lineage: Bacteria; Pseudomonadati; Pseudomonadota; Alphaproteobacteria
Description: bacterial SSU rRNA
Rfam family: Bacterial small subunit ribosomal RNA
Source: RNAcentral
GAACGUACGCUGGCGGCACGCCUAACACAUGCAAGUCGAACGAAGUAGCAAUACUUAGUGGCAGACGGGUGAGUAACAUGUAGGUAUCUGCCCUUUGGCCUGGAAUAACACGAGGAAACUUGUGCUAAUACCGGAUAAGUCUUUACGGAGAAAGCUUUAUGCACCAUUGGAUGAGCCUGCACUUGAUUAGUUUGUUGGUGGGGUAAUGGCCUACCAAGACUGUGAUCAAUAGCUGAUUUGAGAGGAUGAUCAGCCACAUUGGGACUGAGACACGGCCCAAACUCCUACGGGAGGCAGCAGUGGGGAAUCUUGCACAAUGGAGGAAACUCUGAUGCAGCGAUGCCGCGUGAGUGAAGAAGGCCCUUGGGUUGUAAAGCUCUUUCGUCGGGGAAGAAAAUGACUGUACCCGAAUAAGAAGGUCCGGCUAACUUCGUGCCAGCAGCCGCGGUAAUACGAAGGGACCUAGCGUAGUUCGGAAUUACUGGGCUUAAAGAGUUCGUAGGUGGUUGAAAAAGUUAGUGGUGAAAUCCCAGAGCUUAACUCUGGAACUGCCAUUAAAACUUUUCAGCUAGAGUAUGAUAGAGGAAAGCAGAAUUUCUAGUGUAGAGGUGAAAUUCGUAGAUAUUAGAAAGAAUACCAAUUGCGAAGGCAGCUUUCUGGAUCAUUACUGACACUGAGGAACGAAAGCAUGGGUAGCGAAGAGGAUUAGAUACCCUCGUAGUCCAUGCCGUAAACGAUGUGUGUUAGACGUUGGAAAUUUAUUUUCAGUGUCGCAGCGAAAGCGAUAAACACACCGCCUGGGGAGUACGACCGCAAGGUUAAAACUCAAAUGAAUUGACGGGGACCCGCACAAGUAGUGGAGCAUGUGGUUUAAUUCGAAGAUACGCGCAGAACCUUACCAACACUUGACAUGUUCGUCGCGACUCUAAGAGAUUAGAGUUUUCGGUUCGGCCGGACGAAACACAGGUGCUGCAUGGCUGUCGUCAGCUCGUGUCGUGAGAUGUUGGGUUAAGUCCCGCAACGAGCGCAACCCUCACUUUUAGUUGCCAUCAUUAAGUUGGGCACUCUGAAAGAACUGCCAGUGAUAAGCUGGAGGAAGGUGGGGAUGACGUCAAGUCCUCAUGGCCCUUACGUGUUGGGCUACGCACGUGCUACAAUGGUAUCUACAACAGGAAGCAAGACUGCGAAGUUAAGCAAAUCCCUAAAAGAUACCUCAGUUCGGAUUGCACUCUGCAACUCGAGUGCAUGAAGCUGGAAUUACUAGUAAUCGUGGAUCAGCGUGCCACGGUGAAUGCGUUCCCGGGUCUUGUACAC